CCUACGGGAGGCAGCAGUAGGGAAUCUUCCACAAUGGACGAAAGUCUGAUGGAGCAACGCCGCGUGAGUGAUGAAGGUUUUCGGAUCGUAAAACUCUGUUGUAAGGGAAGAACAAGUACGUUAGGAAAUGAACGUACCUUGACGGUACCUUAUUAGAAAGCCACGGCUAACUACGUGCCAGCAGCCGCGGUAAUACGUAGGUGGCAAGCGUUGUCCGGAUUUAUUGGGCGUAAAGCGUGCGCAGGCGGUUCCUUAAGUCUGAUGUGAAAGCCCACGGCUCAACCGUGGAGGGUCAUUGGAAACUGGGGGACUUGAGUGCAGAAGAGGAGAGUGGAAUUCCACGUGUAGCGGUGAAAUGCGUAGAGAUGUGGAGGAACACCAGUGGCGAAGGCGACUCUCUGGUCUGUAACUGACGCUGAGGCGCGAAAGCGUGGGGAGCAAACAGGAUUAGAUACCCUGGUAGUCCACGCCGUAAACGAUGAGUGCUAAGUGUUAGAGGGUUUCCGCCCUUUAGUGCUGCAGCUAACGCAUUAAGCACUCCGCCUGGGGAGUACGGCCGCAAGGCUGAAACUCAAAGGAAUUGACGG
Molecule: ribosomal RNA, 587 nt
Filed under: uncultured bacterium
Lineage: Bacteria
Description: bacterial SSU rRNA
Rfam family: Bacterial small subunit ribosomal RNA
Source: RNAcentral